RNAcentral lists this ribosomal RNA (1400 nucleotides) under Lactiplantibacillus plantarum. Its description in RNAcentral is "bacterial SSU rRNA". It matches the Rfam family "Bacterial small subunit ribosomal RNA", at positions 66 to 1436 of the family's 1533-position model. Lineage: Bacteria; Bacillati; Bacillota; Bacilli; Lactobacillales; Lactobacillaceae. The record is from RNAcentral.
ACUCUGGUAUUGAUUGGUGCUUGCAUCAUGAUUUACAUUUGAGUGAGUGGCGAACUGGUGAGUAACACGUGGGAAACCUGCCCAGAAGCGGGGGAUAACACCUGGAAACAGAUGCUAAUACCGCAUAACAACUUGGACCGCAUGGUCCGAGCUUGAAAGAUGGCUUCGGCUAUCACUUUUGGAUGGUCCCGCGGCGUAUUAGCUAGAUGGUGAGGUAACGGCUCACCAUGGCAAUGAUACGUAGCCGACCUGAGAGGGUAAUCGGCCACAUUGGGACUGAGACACGGCCCAAACUCCUACGGGAGGCAGCAGUAGGGAAUCUUCCACAAUGGACGAAAGUCUGAUGGAGCAACGCCGCGUGAGUGAAGAAGGGUUUCGGCUCGUAAAACUCUGUUGUUAAAGAAGAACAUAUCUGAGAGUAACUGUUCAGGUAUUGACGGUAUUUAACCAGAAAGCCACGGCUAACUACGUGCCAGCAGCCGCGGUAAUACGUAGGUGGCAAGCGUUGUCCGGAUUUAUUGGGCGUAAAGCGAGCGCAGGCGGUUUUUUAAGUCUGAUGUGAAAGCCUUCGGCUCAACCGAAGAAGUGCAUCGGAAACUGGGAAACUUGAGUGCAGAAGAGGACAGUGGAACUCCAUGUGUAGCGGUGAAAUGCGUAGAUAUAUGGAAGAACACCAGUGGCGAAGGCGGCUGUCUGGUCUGUAACUGACGCUGAGGCUCGAAAGUAUGGGUAGCAAACAGGAUUAGAUACCCUGGUAGUCCAUACCGUAAACGAUGAAUGCUAAGUGUUGGAGGGUUUCCGCCCUUCAGUGCUGCAGCUAACGCAUUAAGCAUUCCGCCUGGGGAGUACGGCCGCAAGGCUGAAACUCAAAGGAAUUGACGGGGGCCCGCACAAGCGGUGGAGCAUGUGGUUUAAUUCGAAGCUACGCGAAGAACCUUACCAGGUCUUGACAUACUAUGCAAAUCUAAGAGAUUAGACGUUCCCUUCGGGGACAUGGAUACAGGUGGUGCAUGGUUGUCGUCAGCUCGUGUCGUGAGAUGUUGGGUUAAGUCCCGCAACGAGCGCAACCCUUAUUAUCAGUUGCCAGCAUUAAGUUGGGCACUCUGGUGAGACUGCCGGUGACAAACCGGAGGAAGGUGGGGAUGACGUCAAAUCAUCAUGCCCCUUAUGACCUGGGCUACACACGUGCUACAAUGGAUGGUACAACGAGUUGCGAACUCGCGAGAGUAAGCUAAUCUCUUAAAGCCAUUCUCAGUUCGGAUUGUAGGCUGCAACUCGCCUACAUGAAGUCGGAAUCGCUAGUAAUCGCGGAUCAGCAUGCCGCGGUGAAUACGUUCCCGGGCCUUGUACACACCGCCCGUCACACCAUGAGAGUUUGUAACACCCAAAGUCGGUGGGGU